This 177-nucleotide transfer-messenger RNA is filed under the name Escherichia coli. RNAcentral's name for it is "partial transfer-messenger RNA". It matches the Rfam family "transfer-messenger RNA", at positions 1 to 181 of the family's 374-position model. From Rfam's summary of the family: Bacterial tmRNA, also known as 10Sa RNA or SsrA, is named for its dual tRNA and mRNA-like properties. The record is from RNAcentral. Lineage: Bacteria; Pseudomonadati; Pseudomonadota; Gammaproteobacteria; Enterobacterales; Enterobacteriaceae.
GGGGCUGAUUCUGGAUUCGACGGGAUUUGCGAAACCCAAGGUGCAUGCCGAGGGGCGGUUGGCCUCGUAAAAAGCCGCAAAAAAUAGUCGCAAACGACGAAAACUACGCUUUAGCAGCUUAAUAACCUGCUUAGAGCCCUCUCUCCCUAGCCUCCGCUCUUAGGACGGGGAUCAAGA